RNAcentral lists this transfer RNA (75 nucleotides) under Parcubacteria group bacterium. RNAcentral's name for it is "tRNA-Ile". It matches the Rfam family "tRNA". From Rfam's summary of the family: Transfer RNA (tRNA) molecules are approximately 80 nucleotides in length. Their secondary structure includes four short double-helical elements and three loops (D, anti-codon, and T loops). Further hydrogen bonds mediate the characteristic L-shaped molecular structure. tRNAs have two regions of fundamental functional importance: the anti-codon, which is responsible for specific mRNA codon recognition, and the 3' end, to which the tRNAs corresponding amino acid is attached (by aminoacyl-tRNA synthetases). tRNAs cope with the degeneracy of the genetic code in two manners: having more than one tRNA (with a specific anti-codon) for a particular amino acid; and 'wobble' base-pairing, i.e. permitting non-standard base-pairing at the 3rd anti-codon position. The record is from RNAcentral.
GCGAGCAUAGCUCAAUGGCAGAGCAUCCGGCUUAUAUCCGGACGGUCGAUGGUUCGAUCCCAUCUGCUCGCACCA